RNAcentral lists this ribosomal RNA (730 nucleotides) under uncultured bacterium. RNAcentral's name for it is "bacterial SSU rRNA". It matches the Rfam family "Bacterial small subunit ribosomal RNA", at positions 771 to 1501 of the family's 1533-position model. The record is from RNAcentral.
AACAGGAUUAGAUACCCUGGUAGUCCACGCCGUAAACGAUGUCGACUUGGAGGUUGUGCCCUUGAGGCGUGGCUUCCGGAGCUAACGCGUCAAGUCGACCGCCUGGGGAGUACGGCCGCAAGGUUAAAACUCAAAUGAAUUGACGGGGGCCCGCACAAGCGGUGGAGCAUGUGGUUUAAUUCGAUGCAACGCGAAGAACCUUACCUACUCUUGACAUCCAGAGAACUUAGCAGAGAUGCUUUGGUGCCUUCGGGAACUCUGAGACAGGUGCUGCAUGGCUGUCGUCAGCUCGUGUUGUGAAAUGUUGGGUUAAGUCCCGCAACGAGCGCAACCCUUAUCCUUUGUUGCCAGCGGUCCGGCCGGGAACUCAAAGGAGACUGCCAGUGAUAAACUGGAGGAAGGUGGGGAUGACGUCAAGUCAUCAUGGCCCUUACGAGUAGGGCUACACACGUGCUACAAUGGCGCAUACAAAGAGAAGCGACCCCGCGAGAGCAAGCGGACCUCAUAAAGUGCGUCGUAGUCCGGAUUGGAGUCUGCAACUCGACUCCAUGAAGUCGGAAUCGCUAGUAAUCGUGGAUCAGAAUGCCACGGUGAAUACGUUCCCGGGCCUUGUACACACCGCCCGUCACACCAUGGGAGUGGGUUGCAAAAGAAGUAGGUAGCUUAACCUUCGGGAGGGCGCUUACCACUUUGUGAUUCAUGACUGGGGUGAAGUCGUAACAAGGUAACC